Molecule: non-coding RNA, 72 nt
Organism: Anopheles stephensi (Asian malaria mosquito)
Lineage: Eukaryota; Metazoa; Arthropoda; Insecta; Diptera; Culicidae
Source: Rfam
ACUGCCGGGCGCCAAACGGGAUCAGCAGCAUCCCCACGAUGCCCUCAGCAGCAGGGACUGUACAAGUGCGGU